CACACACACACACACACACAGAGAGAGAGAGAGAGAGAGAGAGAGAGAGAGAGAGAGAGAGAGAGAUAUGCUUCCUAAGAGGCCUGAGUGCGACCUGAUUCCUGCAGCUUGAUUUGAAUGCCUGCCUGCUCCUCCCUCCUUAGUCUUAUGCAAAGUGUAAACAGAGGUGGCUACACCUGCAGGCAAACUUGCACAUGUGUUUCCUCAUCUUUUAGCUGCCCAGAUGAAAAGCAUUAGCACCCUGAAUUUUUAAAAUAGAGCUACCUUGAGCGCAGAGAUAGAUACUAAGGUUGUGCAACAGAUUCAGCCAAGGGAAGCAGCUUGGGUGGCUCUAAAAGUGGAUGAGACAAAACCAUGGGAGCAGAAGGUACUCAGUGGCUGCCAGCCACAAGGUUUACGUUCUCCCUCUUCUGUUGGAGGCAGGGUGCCUCUGAACAGGUCCUCCUGGUGGCCAGAAGAGAGGCAAAUCAGGCUGGAGAACGAAUGUGAAUUUGGCCCUUGCAAACCAGGGAGUUUCUCUACACACAAAGCAGGUCUGGGAAUGGGUGUGACAUGCAGAGAGGGUCAUGGGGCCUGGGGGAAAUGCAUUUUUCUCCAUCUCUGGUGAAGACAGAGGGCAGGAACUCAAAGAGUCUUGGAAGGAGAUACCUCUCAUUCUGGCACUAGUGCUGGACUGUUGGGGUCUCUUCCAAUUCUUACAAUUCCAUGAUUCUGUGUACAGUAUUGGCAGUCUCUGCUAAGAAGGAGAUCUUAACAGCUGGAGGUCGGGGCUGGCCGUCAGCGCUAGUUUGUAACCACUCCUCUCAUCUCCAUAAACACCCCCACCUUCUCUUUCACUCAGAGACAGGAGGAGCUGCUCAAUUUUUCUCCUUCUAAAAAUGCUCAAUCUCUCAUCACUUCGUACAGCUUUCAGUCCCAUCCUCUGAAUGGAUUUACGAUGAACGAUCCACGUCUGUGUGUCUUAAAGAGGAAUCCUCCACGCAGCAGGCGAAAGGGGGCUGCGAAUGGCUCCAAAAGAAGCCUGGAGCUCUUUCUUCAGACUCUGUCUUUGCUAUCUUCUCUCACUGGUACUGCAAGUUUCAGAGUGCAGAAUCCUCACCAGGAGAGGGAGAGGCUGAAUGGGAUCCUGGGAGGCUCUGUGUUGCUCCCUGUAAGUAUUCCCCCCGAGAAAGCACUGAAAAUGAUUGAGUGGGAUUUCCAGGGGGGAAAUGGUUUGGGAAUUCAGCUGUCUGAAUUGAGGGAAGGAGAACUGCAGAGGAUCAAUCCAAGGGACAGGUUUGGGUCAAGAUUGGAGAUGGCCAAUGAGACCACCCUGAGGAUCAAAGACUUGGAAAUGGAUGACAGUGGCAAAUAUUCCAUUAGAGUGAAGUUUAUUUCAGCACAGUAUGAAGAUUACAACUUCCACCUCUCUGUGUAUGAACCAGUCCCAGAACCAAAAAUCCUCUCCCAUAUUGUCUCCAAAAGCCCAGAGGGCUGUAACGUGACCCUGCAAUGUCAGGUGGCUGAAAAGGGGGAAAUCAACAUCUCCUGGGAAAGAGGGGACACCUUGAGAGACUUAGAAGAUGGUUCAAAGUCAUACCACCUCUCUGGCAAUGGCAAAGAUCUCCACUUGGUCUGGAAGCUCAACUCCUCAGAUCCCAACAUCACCUGCCUGGUCACCAAUCCAGCUGAUCAGAAAAGCAUCUCCUUCAACUUGAAGCACAUCUGCCAAACUGAAGUCUUAACAGGUGGCCGUCAACUCACAUUUGUGGUGGAGCAUUUCAGGUGGGGUUUUCUCAUCAUUUUGCUCCUCUUCUUGGCUGGAUUUGGGAUAAAGACCUGGAAGACAAGAAGGAAGAUGCCCGCCAACGAAGCUGCCUCCAUGAUGGCAACAGAGGAGGCAUUUCUUGAGCCUCAGUACUCGGAGAUUGUAAAGAGGAGCCCCCCGGAAGGCAAUGAUGAGCAGCCACUCAGAGUGACUGCGGCAACCCAGUCAGACAGACAGGGUAUAAAGAGUAAAAUGAUGAUGAUGAUGUUGAAAUAGGACAUCCUUACAGUAUUUUCAUCGGAGAAAUGUUGGGAUUCCAAGUCUUACGAGUUGCCCCUCUAGAUGGCAGUGACGUGAUAACAUUGUAGAAGCACCACCGAGUAUCUAGCGGGAAAGAUGGCAACCCAGAGAUGUAUUGCUGUGAUCUCUCUCUCCAUGGACGACUCUUGGGACUCAGCUACACAGCAGUAAAUAAAACGUUUUAAGUGUGUUUUACGUGCAAUAUACAAUGUGAUGCUAGAUGGCAAUGGUGAGUCUUAAGGUUUCCUGGGCUUUGAAGACACUCGAUCUCAGGACGCAAGGGAGAAAUGUGCUAAGAGGAAGGCACACUUGGCAAAUCCACACCGUGACCAACUCCCGCCCGGAAACCAACGUCCCCACUGUGGAAGGACGUGUGGAUCCAGAAUUGGCCUCCACAGUCACUUACGGACUCA
Zootoca vivipara (common lizard) is the source of this 2460-nucleotide non-coding RNA. The record is from RefSeq and is a predicted model, not a curated record. NCBI's taxonomy places the organism in Eukaryota, Metazoa, Chordata, Lepidosauria, Squamata, Lacertidae.